RNAcentral lists this long non-coding RNA (199 nucleotides) under Solanum tuberosum (potato). RNAcentral describes it as "long non-coding RNA (STUB_LNC003626)". The record is from RNAcentral. Lineage: Eukaryota; Viridiplantae; Streptophyta; Magnoliopsida; Solanales; Solanaceae.
AUUAAUGAAUGAGUAGUUUUGUGAAUUAAUGAAUAAAGGAAACCUUAGUGCUACCAAAACUGUAUAUUCAGAUAUUGUGAUGAUAUCAUAUAUGAUAUGAUGAGUGUUAUUAAUUAUAUGAAACAAUCUUUAAUAAUAUUAUGUCAGUUUAUAGAUAUAUUGUGAUGGUACCAUGGAGGUAUCAUUGAAGGGUUGGAGC